RNAcentral lists this ribosomal RNA (253 nucleotides) under uncultured bacterium. RNAcentral describes it as "partial 16S ribosomal RNA". It matches the Rfam family "Bacterial small subunit ribosomal RNA", at positions 524 to 776 of the family's 1533-position model. The record is from RNAcentral. RNAcentral also lists the same sequence under 1 other name.
UACGUAGGUGGCAAGCGUUGUCCGGAUUUAUUGGGUUUAAAGGGUGCGUAGGCGGCCCUGUAAGUCAGUGCUGAAAUAUCCCGGCUUAACCGGGAGGGUGGCAUUGAUACUGCAGGGCUUGAGUAAAGUUGAGGUUGGCGGAAUUGACGGUGUAGCGGUGAAAUGCUUAGAUAUCGUCAAGAACACCUAUUGCGUAGGCAGCUAACUAAGCUUUAACUGACGCUGAGGCACGAAAGUGUGGGGAUCAAACAGG